Long non-coding RNA from Manis pentadactyla (Chinese pangolin), 1440 nucleotides. RefSeq lists it as uncharacterized. The transcript has 2 exons. Lineage: Eukaryota; Metazoa; Chordata; Mammalia; Pholidota; Manidae. The record is from RefSeq and is a predicted model, not a curated record.
UCUCUACUGCAGCCCGGUGCGUGGCACACCCUUAGUGGUCCUAAUUUCUAGGUUCACUGCAUCAUUUUUCCUGGGCUCCUAAGCCUAGUGGGCCUGUGGUGCACACCCUACUCCAUGAGCUCUUGGAAUCCAAGCAGUACAGAUAAAACAAAAUAAAUGCUGAUAACAAAACACCUGCUUUGCAGAUGAGGACACCAAGCCUCAGAGAGGUUCAGCUUUUCCAUGGUCACCUAGCUGCGAAGUGACAGAACCAGAAUCUGACCCAGGUCCGCCUGUCUGUCUCCAGGACCUGUGCUUCUGAUCCCCACUGUGCACCCCUCUCACCCAGCCCACGUCUGCAGAGCACCCACGGCACACCGCACUGCCCACGUGGGGCGGGGACUUGCGAGCCGAGCAAAGCUGGGCCAGUUUUCAGUACUCAGAGCGUCAUAAGGAGGUGUGUUCAUUUCCUGCAGCCGCUCUAACAAGUAGCCGCACACUUUGUGGUCUCAAACAACAAAAAUCUAUGAUCUUACAGUUCUGGUGGCCAGAAGUCUGAUGCAGUGUCCCUGCCCAGGCAACAGCCAGGCUGCACGUCUUCUAGAGGCUUCAGGAGACAAACCCAUUUCCUUGCUUUUUCUAGCUCCUAGAAGCCGCCCGUGUGCCUUGGCUCAUGGCCCCUUGCUCCAGUCUCAAAGCUGGAGCAUCUCAUCUUCGUUCUCUCUCUCCGCUUCCAUCUUCUUCCUCUUUCCUUUUGUGUUCCGGGCCAAGCCUCCCUCUGCUGCCCUCUUAGGAAGACCGUUGUGACUACAUCCAGCCACCCAAAGAAUUCUGAAAAUCUCCCCGUCUCAAGAUCUUUGAUUUAAUACAUCUGCAAAAGCCUUUUUGCCACAUAGAGGUUCCACUGUUUUGAAGAUAUAAUCCCUAAAAGAUACCCCCAAAGAACGGAAGCUUUGCCUUGAAAUUUUACACGGCUCAGCUGCUGGGUGUCAUCUCUCCCGGCCAUAAGCAUUUAUUCUGUGAGGGCUGCAUACGAGGAUGCUGAGCACACACAGGCCCGGCCCCUGCAGAAUGUCAUGCCUUCUGUUUUCAUUCUGUGUUGCCUCCUAUUUAAUUUCCCCUCUUCGGGUGGUUGACAAGCUGGCUAUGGCCUGAGGGGGUCUUAACAGGGAUGGCUGGCUUCUCAGAGGAAUGGGUGCCAAAGGGACAGGCAGGUGGCAGCGCUGAGGUCUAGGCCGGCAGAGGAAGCGGGCGACCCGGGAGUGAGGGUGGCGACUUGGUGUGAGGGAGCAGGCGGCUCCUUCAGACUUGCUUCACUGCUGCCCUCCUCUGGCUUGAACCCUGAAUGGCUCCCCAUUGCCUUCACUACAAACCCCAAACCUCCUACAUUUAACAUUUAAAAAAUUGAGAUGUGAUAUGCAUAUGUAUGUACACUGGUCAUAAAUAUAUGGCUUGAUUGGU